GUGAAUCGCGGCGAUGGCGUCCGCCAGGGGUAGCUCCCCGAACCGCCCCGCAGGGCUGAUGACUCCUGAGACGAU
This 75-nucleotide non-coding RNA is filed under the name Microlunatus phosphovorus. RNAcentral's name for it is "Fluoride sequence". It matches the Rfam family "Fluoride riboswitch aptamer (crcB RNA motif)". The record is from RNAcentral. Lineage: Bacteria; Bacillati; Actinomycetota; Actinomycetes; Propionibacteriales; Propionibacteriaceae. RNAcentral also lists the same sequence under 1 other name.